AUACGGAGGGUGCAAGCGUUAAUCGGAAUUACUGGGCGUAAAGCGCUCGUAGGCGGCUUGUUAAGUCGGAUGUGAAAGCCCCGGGCUCAACCUGGGAACUGCAUUCGAUACUGGCAGGCUAGAGUAUAGUAGAGGCAAGUGGAAUUCCGGGUGUAGCGGUGAAAUGCGUAGAUAUCCGGAGGAACAUCAGUGGCGAAGGCGACUUGCUGGACCAAUAUUGACGCUAAGGUGCGAAAGCGUGGGUAGCAAACGGAAUUAGAAACCCCAGUAGUCC
This 274-nucleotide ribosomal RNA is filed under the name uncultured bacterium. RNAcentral describes it as "partial 16S ribosomal RNA". It matches the Rfam family "Bacterial small subunit ribosomal RNA", at positions 523 to 796 of the family's 1533-position model. The record is from RNAcentral.